RNAcentral lists this ribosomal RNA (564 nucleotides) under Salmonella enterica. Its description in RNAcentral is "partial 23S ribosomal RNA". It matches the Rfam family "Bacterial large subunit ribosomal RNA", at positions 1 to 584 of the family's 2925-position model. The record is from RNAcentral. Lineage: Bacteria; Pseudomonadati; Pseudomonadota; Gammaproteobacteria; Enterobacterales; Enterobacteriaceae.
GGGUUGUGAGGUUAAGCGACUAAGCGUACACGGUGGAUGCCCUGGCAGUCAGAGGCGAUGAAGGGCGUACUAAUCUGCGAUAAGCGCCGGUAAGGUGAUAUGAACCGUUAUAACCGGCGAUACCCGAAUGGGGAAACCCAGUGUGAUUCGUCACACUAUCAUUAACUGAAUCCAUAGGUUAAUGAGGCGAACCGGGGGAACUGAAACAUCUAAGUACCCCGAGGAAAAGAAAUCAACCGAGAUUCCCCCAGUAGCGGCGAGCGAACGGGGAGGAGCCCAGAGCCUGAAUCAGCAUGUGUGUUAGUGGAAGCGUCUGGAAAGGCGCGCGAUACAGGGUGACAGCCCCGUACACAAAAGCGCAUGUGCUGUGAGCUCGAUGAGUAGGGCGGGACACGUGGUAUCCUGUCUGAAUAUGGGGGGACCAUCCUCCAAGGCUAAAUACUCCUGACUGACCGAUAGUGAACCAGUACCGUGAGGGAAAGGCGAAAAGAACCCCGGCGAGGGGAGUGAAAAAGAACCUGAAACCGUGUACGUACAAGCAGUGGGAGCCCCACCACCAAAGCA